ACAGACAGAGAGGAGCUCCCUUCAAUCCAAGCACGAGGGAAAGAUGAUGGCGGGCUCAUCUCCCGGGUCAUGCACACCCAUGCAAGUGCAGAGGUGAGCAGCGGCCAUUGCUGCACCAGAGAGGUAUCCAUGAACCGGCAGCUGCAACCGACCACUUCCCCUCCUGGAUUGGAUCGAAGGGAGCUCUUCGAUCGCCUUUC
This 200-nucleotide microRNA precursor is filed under the name Zea mays. Its description in RNAcentral is "MIR159 microRNA precursor family". It matches the Rfam family "MIR159 microRNA precursor family". Lineage: Eukaryota; Viridiplantae; Streptophyta; Magnoliopsida; Poales; Poaceae. The record is from Rfam by way of RNAcentral.